RNAcentral lists this ribosomal RNA (252 nucleotides) under uncultured bacterium. RNAcentral's name for it is "partial 16S ribosomal RNA". It matches the Rfam family "Bacterial small subunit ribosomal RNA", at positions 524 to 776 of the family's 1533-position model. The record is from RNAcentral.
UACGAAGGGGGCUAGCGUUGCUCGGAAUCACUGGGCGUAAAGGGUGCGUAGGCGGGUUUUAAGUCAGAGGUGAAAUCCUGGAGCUCAACUCCAGAACUGCCUUUGAUACUGAAAGUCUUGAGUAUGGGAGAGGUGAGUGGAACUGCGAGUGUAGAGGUGAAAUUCGUAGAUAUUCGCAAGAACACCAGUGGCGAAGGCGGCUCACUGGCCCAUAACUGACGCUGAGGCACGAAAGCGUGGGGAGCAAACAGG